This 205-nucleotide ribosomal RNA is filed under the name uncultured bacterium. Its description in RNAcentral is "partial 16S ribosomal RNA". It matches the Rfam family "Bacterial small subunit ribosomal RNA", at positions 524 to 728 of the family's 1533-position model. The record is from RNAcentral.
UACAGAGGGGGCAAGCGUUGUUCGGAAUUACUGGGCGUAAAGGGCGCGUAGGCGGCCUGUUAAGUCGAACGUGAAAUCCCCGGGCUCAACCCGGGAACUGCGUCCGAUACUGGCAGGCUUGAAUCCGGGAGAGGGAUGCGGAAUUCCAGGUGUAGCGGUGAAAUGCGUAGAUAUCUGGAGGAACACCGGUGGCGAAGGCGGCGAU